RNAcentral lists this transfer RNA (75 nucleotides) under Planctomicrobium piriforme. It matches the Rfam family "tRNA". From Rfam's summary of the family: Transfer RNA (tRNA) molecules are approximately 80 nucleotides in length. Their secondary structure includes four short double-helical elements and three loops (D, anti-codon, and T loops). Lineage: Bacteria; Pseudomonadati; Planctomycetota; Planctomycetia; Planctomycetales; Planctomycetaceae. The record is from Rfam by way of RNAcentral.
CGGAGUGUAGCUCAGCUUGGCUAGAGCGCCUGCUUUGGGAGCAGGAGGUCGCAGGUUCGAGUCCUGUCACUCCGA